Molecule: long non-coding RNA, 632 nt
Filed under: Physcomitrium patens
Lineage: Eukaryota; Viridiplantae; Streptophyta; Bryopsida; Funariales; Funariaceae
Description: long non-coding RNA (PPAT_LNC000437)
Source: RNAcentral
AUCUCUUGGAGUUCUAGCUCACCUUUCUGGUGUUGUUCUUGUACUCAUCUGUUUAAUCUAGUUCUGUCACUUCUUCUUGAACUUUUUGUUAGAUUUCAAGUCUGUAUUUUAUGUCCGUGACACUUUGUUAGCCACAUGUCUUAACUUGCAAGGCAAGUUAUUUAUAUAUGUGCCACAUAGUGUCACGAACAUACACAUGUAAGCCAAUAAUUACAUGUAUAAAUAGGUAGAAGUAAGUAAACGUAGGUAAAAGUAAGUAAAUUCUAGAAUAUUUUGCUAUGAAAGCUUCUUAGAAGCUUUAUAAAUGCUGCUUUGACUUUAUAGGUGUCUUUAAUUGACUUUUUGGAUUAGAAACGUAGUCAAUAAGUUGGUCAUGUACCACACAUAUUGUUAGCUUGAAGACCAAGCUAAUCAUGUGGCCCACACGUAGAAAAACUUGCCUUUUAAAUCAAGACAUGUGUCAUACAAAGUCAACACAUAUUGAAGGUCCUAUAGAACAUCGCCACGUAGCUCCUAAUUAGAUAGUAUAUAUAGAGACAAGAGAGAAGCCCUCUUCACUUUUGUCAACUCCUUUCUUGCUUCUAGUCUAGUUUCAAGGAUCUCCAAUUUUCUUGUCUUUUGGCAAUAGCCAU